RNAcentral lists this ribosomal RNA (605 nucleotides) under Streptomyces anthocyanicus. RNAcentral describes it as "bacterial SSU rRNA". It matches the Rfam family "Bacterial small subunit ribosomal RNA", at positions 127 to 745 of the family's 1533-position model. The record is from RNAcentral. Lineage: Bacteria; Bacillati; Actinomycetota; Actinomycetes; Kitasatosporales; Streptomycetaceae.
UGCCCUUCACUCUGGGACAAGCCCUGGAAACGGGGUCUAAUACCGGAUACUGACCCUCGCAGGCAUCUGCGAGGUUCGAAAGCUCCGGCGGUGAAGGAUGAGCCCGCGGCCUAUCAGCUUGUUGGUGAGGUAAUGGCUCACCAAGGCGACGACGGGUAGCCGGCCUGAGAGGGCGACCGGCCACACUGGGACUGAGACACGGCCCAGACUCCUACGGGAGGCAGCAGUGGGGAAUAUUGCACAAUGGGCGAAAGCCUGAUGCAGCGACGCCGCGUGAGGGAUGACGGCCUUCGGGUUGUAAACCUCUUUCAGCAGGGAAGAAGCGAAAGUGACGGUACCUGCAGAAGAAGCGCCGGCUAACUACGUGCCAGCAGCCGCGGUAAUACGUAGGGCGCAAGCGUUGUCCGGAAUUAUUGGGCGUAAAGAGCUCGUAGGCGGCUUGUCACGUCGGUUGUGAAAGCCCGGGGCUUAACCCCGGGUCUGCAGUCGAUACGGGCAGGCUAGAGUUCGGUAGGGGAGAUCGGAAUUCCUGGUGUAGCGGUGAAAUGCGCAGAUAUCAGGAGGAACACCGGUGGCGAAGGCGGAUCUCUGGGCCGAUACUGACG